This 210-nucleotide small nucleolar RNA is filed under the name Castor canadensis (American beaver). RNAcentral describes it as "Small nucleolar RNA U3 (ENSCCNG00000024678.1)". It matches the Rfam family "Small nucleolar RNA U3". From Rfam's summary of the family: Small nucleolar RNAs (snoRNAs) are involved in the processing and modification of rRNA in the nucleolus. There are two main classes of snoRNAs: the box C/D class, and the box H/ACA class. Lineage: Eukaryota; Metazoa; Chordata; Mammalia; Rodentia; Castoridae. The record is from Rfam by way of RNAcentral.
AAGACUGUACUUUCAGAGAUCAUUUUUAUUGUUUAUUAUUAGAAGUUUCUCUGAACACGUAGAGCACUGGGAGGCAUAAGGAAGAGGCACACGUUCUCGCCUGAGCAUGAAGCCAGCUCUUCCUGUUGCUUUGCUAUAACUACCAUUUAUCACUGAUGACUAUUCCCUUCCUUUGCCAAAGUAAGCGGGAGAGAAUGCAGUCUGAGUGGU